GAAAGCUUGCAUUAUAGUCCAACCUGCUAACCAUUGCGCCACUGACACUAAAUUGUCCAUAUAUAUUAUAGCGGAGCUUCAUAACUGUUUUUCUCCAUUUCCAAAGCACCAUUUGCAUUCUUAAUACAUCCGCGAACAACACUGUUCCUACAAAAUCUGACUACCUUGCCCAGGACUUUGAUCAGGGUCCAAAAUAUUAUAAUUAUAGUCAUUUCUCUAUCACCCAAACCUGAUGACGAUUAUAUUUAAAACUUUAAAAAUGUCUUAGUCAUGUGCUACCCAUUGCUACACUUAAUAACAUAAAUGAAAGGAUCAUGUCGGUCUUUUCUUAUUCAAACAUUUCACUUAGAAAUAUUGAUGCGGUUUGAAGCAAACAGUUAAAACAAUUUGUAGCUAACCAAACAGUAGCGUACACUCUUUUUGGAGUAAUUUAUGACUUAACAGUAGCAUACGUUCUGUUGGAAUAUCGAUGCAUUUGUAGCUAUCAACAACCAGUUGCUUACAUUCUACGAAAUAUUGAUGCAGUUUGUAGCAUACAUUCUAUGGAAAGUUGAGGUGCCUUAUGUGUAGCUUAAUAACAAACAGUAGCAUAUGUUUUAUUGGAAUAAUAAUGCAGUCUGUAGCUUACAAUAGCCAGUAAGUUGGUAACUGGAAUAUCAAUGUAGUUUACAACACCAGUAGCACACAUUCUACGGAAUAUUGAUGCAACGUGUAGCUUAUUGGGCAAAAACAUACAUUCUACGGACUAAUGAUGCAGCAUGUAGCGUACUAGACAGUAGCAUACAUUCUACGGACUAGUGAUGUAACGUGUAGCUUACCUGACAGUAGCAUACACUCUACGGAAUGUUGACGCAACGUGUAGUUUACCAAACAGUAGCAUAUGGAAUAUAGAUGCAGCAGCGUGUAGCUUACCAGACAGUAGCAUAUGGAAUGUUGAUGCAACGUGUAGUUUAUCAGACAGUAGCAUAUGGAAUGUUGAUACAACGUGUAGUUUACCAGACUGUAACAUAUGAAAUGUUGAUGCAACGUGUGGUUACCAGGCAGUAGCAUAUGGAAUGUUGAUGCAACGUAUAGCAUACCAGUCAGUAGCAUAGGGAAUGUUGAUGCAACGUGUAGUUUACCAGACAGUAGCAUAUGGAAUGUUGAUGCAACGUGUACUAGUUUACCAGACAGUAGCAUAUGGAAUGUUGAUGCAACGUGUACAGUAGCAUAUGGAAUGUUGAUGCAACGUAUAGCAUACCAGACAGUAGCAUACUGAAUGUUGAUGCAACGUAUAGUUUACCAGACUGUAGCUUAUGGAAUGUUGAUACAACGUGUAGUUUACCAGACUGUAGCAUAUGGAAUGUUGAUGCAACGUGUGGUUACCAGACUGUAGCAUAUGGAAUGUUGAUACAACGUUUGGUUACCAUACAGUAGCAUAUGGAAUGUUGAUGCAACGUGUGGUUACCAGACAGUAGCAUAUGGAAUGUUGAUACAACGUUUAGUUACCAGACAGUAGCAUAUGGAAUGUUGAUGCAACGUAUAGCAUACCAGACAGUAGCAUAUGGAAUAUUGAUGCAACGUGCAGUUUACCAGACUGUAGCAUAUGAAAUGUUGAUGCAACGUGUGGUUACCAGGCAGUAGCAUAUGGAAUGUUGAUGCAACGUAUAGCAUAGCAUAUGGAAUGUUGAUGCAACGUGCAGUUUACCAGACAGUAGCAUAUGGAAUGUUGAUGCAACGUGUAGUUUACCAGACAGUAGCAUAUGGAAUGUUGAUGCAACGUAUAGCAUACCAGACAGUAGCAUAUGGAAUGUUGAUGGAACGUGCAGUUUAUCAGACAGUAGCAUAUGGAAUGUUGAUGCAAAGUGUAGUUUACCAGACAGUAGCAUAUGGAAUGUUGAUACAACGUGUAGGUUACCAGACAGUAGCAUAUGGAAUGUUGAUGCAACGUGUAGUUUACCAGACAGUAGCAUAUGGAAUGUUGAUGCAAGAUGUACAGUAGCAUAUGGAAUGUUGACGCAACGUAUAGUUUACCAGACAGUAGCAUAUGGAAUGUUGAUGCAGCGUAUAGCAUACCAGACAGUAACAUAUGGAAUGUUGAUGCAACGUAUGGUUACCAGACAGUAGCAUAUGGAAUGUUGAUGCAACGUGUAGUUUACCAGACAGUAGCAUAUGGAAUGUUGAUACAACGUGUAGUUUACCAGACAGUAGCAUAUGGAAUGUUGAUGCAACGUGUGGUUACCAGACAGUAGCAUAUGGCAUGUUGAUGUAACAUAUAGCAUACCAGACAGUAACAUAUGGAAUGUUGAUGCAACGUGUAGUUUACCAGACUGUAGCAUAUGGAAUGUUGAUGCAACGUGUAGUUUACCAGACAGUAGCAUAUGGAAUGUUGAUGCAAGAUGUAGCUUACCAGACAGUAGCAUACAUUCUGCGGAAUAUUGCUGCAAAACAUUGAUUCAUUGAAUAUUGAUUUAAUUUGUGGUUUCUUACUGAUUUUAUUACAACAAACAGAAGUAUAUAUUCAACGAAAUAUUGAUGCAAAGUUAGUUCACAAUAACUGACUGUAUCAUUUAUUCUAUGACAAUUCUAACAGACAAGAAAGUUUGGCUGGUCUGAUACUAGUUUGAAUUAUGACACCGACAGAUAGUGAAUUAAGCUAAUAACUACUGUAAAUAUUAUGACAGUUGGUAAUUUCUUUUGACAACUGAAUCAUUAUUGAAUAAUAUUUGCAUACAUUUAUUUAAGUUAACGUGUAAACAAAAUAAAUAUUACCAUAUAUACGAAACUACAAAAUAUGGCGGUCCUAGUAUAUAAUACGUGUACUGUGACUGUGGCAUCACCUGUGAAAAAGAUAUAUCAUUCUCUAAUUAUUAAAACCCGAGAUAGUAAGCGUUUUUGUAGAAAAGUUUAAGAAAAACUGUUUCAGUAUUAUGUUGUUUUUUUGGCGUGUCUACGUGUCUUGGCUGAAAAUCUUACUAGUAGGUACUUGAACCAUGUCUGACAGUUGAGUUUGUAAAAAUGUGUCUUCCCCAUUUCAGUAAAAAAUGUCAGCAUUACCAAAAUUGUGAUAGUUUUGAGGUUAGAGAAGUGUAUAUAUGAACGAGUUAAUCGACAACGAUUGUUUUUAGCAAAGGAGACUGGGCAAACGAAUAUGAACCUGUUACAGGUUUUAGAUUUCUCACUGUGUAAAUAAUCGAUACAGACGACAAUUGUUGAAAUGUAAAUUUAUACAAGAUCUUUCGUCGUCACAGAGUAUCAGGAAGGUUGAAUCUAUCGUUUAUUUGUUCUGCAGUCUUGACAACAUCAGACGCACAUGCGCCGCGUGCACGAGGUCCGUUCUUGGUGAGUAAAUGCUCCGGCUCACGCAGACAUAAUGACAUGCGCUUAAUAGGCAAUGGUCAAUAUUACAUGUAAAGAACCUAUAAAUAAGAACACUUCUGUGUUGGCAGCUUGCAGCGUUUCCCUUUGUGAGAGAAAGAAAGAAGUAUGUUUUACUUGUAACAUAUUUCAAGUACAAUAAUUUGAUCAAUAGUCUUUGAAAUAUGACAACGUUUCUACAGUCUUGAUGGAUGCAUGAGUAACACACGGUUGGAUGCCGAGUAAAGUACCGGUUGGAUGCCGAGUAAUGUACCGGUUUGGAUUCAAACAGAAUCGUCUGCUCGAUUGAGAAUCAGUGACAACAUUCAUUUUUAGACGAAAAAAAGUUUUUCUUAAAGAAAAAGCUCUUUCUAUUUAGUUAUUUUGAAUUAUUUACGAAUGUACAUAUCUGUAUCUACACACGUUAUAGUUAAAUAGAAUCAGGUUAUCCCUUUCCGUACCCCCCCACCCCCCUCAAAGACAGCAGUACCAAAAAUGUUCGUGUGGUUUCAGAUCUAGUUGGUGGCCAUCUUUUUUACUUCUUCUAAACAGUAUACAGUGUGCCGAUCUUCACCGGUUCAAAUACUCAUCUUAGCCGCCACAACUAGUGAAGGUUAAAAGUUUUCCUAUUUAAUGUUUUAAUAUGUUAAAUUAAUUAUUGCAAUUGUAUUCUUUUAAAAAAAUUCGCUAUUUUCCAGUCUGUUAAAGCAUGACACGAAAAUUGCUCAAUUAUUGCCACAAUUUAUUACCCUCCAAAAAGUUUAUGUGAGAUUUUGAUUUCUUUACAUUUUUUAUGUAAAACGAGCCGAUGAAUUUCAAGAUAUCAUUGUACCGGUAUAUACCGGCUACUGAUGCAUGAGGGAAAACCUAUAUAUACCUCUUUCAUUAUACAAUGAUGAAACAUAAAUUGCAUUUUGCAAAGUAUUUCAUUAGGAACUUACUUAAACGAAAAUGUAAAAAACGUGUAUAUUUAAAGGUUUGACCGGUAUUUUUUUAUGUACAACAUUGCAAGAUUCUCGCACCGGGCCUGAGAAGAAUACAUUUCAGGCAGAACCUCGUAUGAAGAAAUCUGUAUGAGAAAUGUAAAAAUAUCUUGAGCUCGCCGUGAGGACAGUCCGGGGAGCUUUUAAUAUAUCGCCGACCGUAACGGCAGUACGUCAUCGUCCACGUCGGACAUUGACACUUUGAUAAAGAUUGGGUACAAGCGCAUACAUUAAACAAUCUCCUCCUAUAGUGUUUAGCUAGAUGAGUCCUGCCCUCCACUCAUAUAGGUAUCGGCGAGCCCAGCUAUGUACUGUCCGCUUAGGCCGCUGUAUAGUUCAGUGAGCGAGUGUGCUGGGUUAAAUACGGCAUGUCAAGUCGUGGUAGGCUUAUAUAAACAAAACAUGCAUUUGUAAUCGAUGAGCUUCAACUGAACACGACACCUUUUUUCUCCUCUCUUUAAUGACAAGCUAGGACAGUUAUCCUCUCCGACUCCCACGAAACAUUGGUCCUAUCGUAAACACUUGUCCUGUUUAGUUCAGUACUUACAAUGUAUUUUUAUUUCAUACUUCUUUACCUAGUUUCACCCAUCUGUAUGGAACGUUAUGUAGUCAAUGACUGCCAGGCGUUACAAGCGUUACGCAGCAAUAGUCUGCAACACAACCAGUCAACCAACCAAAAUGAGUGACUGUCAUAUUGAAGGAAUGGACAAGUAACACACGAAUGAAUGAAUGAAUGAAUGAAUGAAUGAAUAUUCUAGACCAGUAUGGCGAUGAUAUCUGUUUUAGUCAUAUUCAUUCAAUAUGUAAUGCAGGAAGUGUUAAAUACUUAAUUGAAAUAGAUAAACUAAUAUGGCAUGGUAAAAAAAUCAGGAAGUUUGAAAUAUAUGUAGAAUCUGUAUCAGAUAUCAGUCUACGUAAUUGGAUAGUCAAUACCUUCUGUCAGAAUGCCAGUUUGGUUUUAUUGUUGUCACGUACGUUAUGUAUUUGAGAAACGUGAGCACAAAUGGAGCAUUUAAUGAGACUUUCAAAGUUAUUGAUAGUUUCUGUUAUUGUUUCAAACGGCAAAAUGUCUAAAACAGUUAAGAUUCUUUCUGAGCAGGCACUUAAAGCUAUCAAUAAACUCUGAAGUCUUUUAAAAGCAUUGCUGUAGAUGUUGAAAAGUCAGUCCACACUAGUAAAAAAAAAAUUCAAGUAUCUAGGUGAAGUUUUUAAAGUUUGGAAUAAUAACGUAAAUGCGUUGUCUUUAUGUCCAAUCUUGACCUGUUUCUCAGCUGCAACUACGUUAGAUUUAUGACAUUUAUAGACGAACUAGUUAUUGUGUUCUGUCAUGAAAAGCAUA
Long non-coding RNA from Mercenaria mercenaria, 5658 nucleotides. RefSeq lists it as uncharacterized. The transcript has 2 exons. Lineage: Eukaryota; Metazoa; Mollusca; Bivalvia; Venerida; Veneridae. The record is from RefSeq and is a predicted model, not a curated record.